Long non-coding RNA from Dryobates pubescens (Downy woodpecker), 959 nucleotides. RefSeq lists it as uncharacterized. The transcript is spliced from 3 exons. The record is from RefSeq and is a predicted model, not a curated record. NCBI's taxonomy places the organism in Eukaryota, Metazoa, Chordata, Aves, Piciformes, Picidae.
GUCACUGUGGGGAGAUGCAUGCACUGCCCAUGUCCAUUGUUCUGGCUUGCCUGCCGGUUUGCCUGCUCUUGUGUCUCCCCGCCUAUUCAAAGUAGGAGAGAGACCAGCAGCAGAAAUCAAAGCAGACCCUGACUGAAUUUACUUGUUAUUGAAGACAGGAAUCUUUGCUUUUACAGGUCCUAUGAAGUUGACAUCUGGUGAAUUGUCCCAGGAUGAUAAAAAGUUCCAGUUAGCCCUCCCUGGACUAAACAGAAUUCCAGGAAGACCAGUGGGAUCAUAAUUUGUUUGAACAUAUAAGUGAAAAAGUCAGAAUCGGUCAAUUUAGAGAAGAGAUGCACAAAUGGAGAUAUCACAGAACCACAAUGGGAGGCAGGCGAGUGCCCUGUAUAGUGUGUGAGUGAGAAGGUGUACGUCAGUGCCUGUGGUCCUGUAUGCCCAGGGGAUUGAUCAGUGCUGUUCAAACCUGACAUUCCAGGGAGUGGAGAUAUUUUGAAGUGGAUGUUUGAAGAAUGGAAUUAUAUCCUUUCUGUUUUUUGAGUCAUCCAUUGUCUGUUUAAUUCCCUGGGGCUGUUAAUUAUAUAUAAAUGUAACAAAGGCUCUGGGAGUGUGUAAUAUUUAAAGUGAAAGUCUAAGGCUUCCAGUGUCUGGGGUGAAUUAUUCUUUUCUGGCCUAACAAAGCUGGCAGAACUUCAGUUAAGGGAAGGGCACAAUAAUGAUGUGUUUAACUGUGUUUUAUGUAAUUUGUGAACUUUCUGAAAUGCUUGUAUAAUAACUACUUUAUCCCUGAAAACCUGAUAAGUAUUUUUCCAAUGGGGUUUGAGUUAAAUUUGCAUGUGAAUUGCUUUACGUUUUUUCAACAAAUAUGUUGUUAUCUCUGACUGAAAUGUGGAUUGAGGAAUCACUUGAAACAUAAUACAGAAGUAGCACUGAAGACCUCAGCAGACUGAAAAAUAAUUGAA